This 414-nucleotide ribosomal RNA is filed under the name uncultured microorganism. RNAcentral describes it as "bacterial SSU rRNA". It matches the Rfam family "Archaeal small subunit ribosomal RNA", at positions 459 to 872 of the family's 1478-position model. The record is from RNAcentral.
CAGCCGCCGCGGUAAUACCGGCGGCCCGAGUGGCGGCCACUAUUAUUGGGCCUAAAGCGUCCGUAGCCGGGCUGGUAAGUCCCCCGGGAAAUCUGGCCGCUUAACGGUCAGAAUGCCGGAGGAUACUCCCAGCCUAGGGAGCGGGAGAGGCCGAGGGUAUUCCCGGAGUAGGGGUGAAAUCCUAUAAUCCCGGGAGGACCACCUGUGGCGAAGGCGCUCGGCUGGAACGCGUCCGACGGUGAGGGACGAAGGCCAGGGGAGCAAACCGGAUUAGAUACCCGGGUAGUCCUGGCUGUAAACGAUGCGGACUUUGUGUCGGACAAGCUAUGAGCUUGUCCGGUGCCGGAGGGAAACCGUUAAGUCCGCCGCCUGGGGAGUACGGCCGCAAGGCUGAAACUUAAAGGAAUUGGAGGG